RNAcentral lists this ribosomal RNA (245 nucleotides) under uncultured bacterium. RNAcentral describes it as "partial 16S ribosomal RNA". It matches the Rfam family "Bacterial small subunit ribosomal RNA", at positions 524 to 767 of the family's 1533-position model. The record is from RNAcentral.
UACGUAGGGGCCUAGCGUUGUCCGGAUUUAUUGGGCGUAAAGAGCUCGUAGGCGGUUCGGUAAGUCGGAUGUGAAAUCUCCACGCUCAACGUGGAGGCGCCAUCCGAUACUGCCGUGACUUGAGUCCGGUAGGGGAGUGUGGAAUUCCCGGUGUAGCGGUGAAAUGCGCAGAUAUCGGGAGGAACACCCGUAGCGAAGGCGGCACUCUGGGCCGGUACUGACGCUGAGGAGCGAAAGCGUGGGGA